GUCCAUUCUCCAAUGGACUAGGUGAUCCACACCAGUGUUUCGGACAGCGGUUCGAUUCCGCUCAGCUCCACCA
This 73-nucleotide non-coding RNA is filed under the name Prochlorococcus marinus str. MIT 9211. Lineage: Bacteria; Bacillati; Cyanobacteriota; Cyanophyceae; Synechococcales; Prochlorococcaceae. The record is from RNAcentral.